GAUGAACGCUGGCGGCGUGCCUAAUACAUGCAAGUCGAGCGAACAGACGAGGAGCUUGCUCCUCUGACGUUAGCGGCGGACGGGUGAGUAACACGUGGAUAACCUACCUAUAAGACUGGGAUAACUUCGGGAAACCGGAGCUAAUACCGGAUAAUAUAUUGAACCGCAUGGUUCAAUAGUGAAAGACGGUUUUGCUGUCACUUAUAGCUGGAUCCGCGCCGCAUUAGCUAGUUGGUAAGGUAACGGCUUACCAAGGCAACGAUGCGUAGCCGACCUGAGAGGGUGAUCGGCCACACUGGAACUGAGACACGGUCCAGACUCCUACGGGAGGCAGCAGUAGGGAAUCUUCCGCAAUGGGCGAAAGCCUGACGGAGCAACGCCGCGUGAGUGAUGAAGGUCUUCGGAUCGUAAAACUCUGUUAUUAGGGAAGAACAAAUGUGUAAGUAACUAUGCACGUCUUGACGGUACCUAAUCAGAAAGCCACGGCUAACUACGU
RNAcentral lists this ribosomal RNA (496 nucleotides) under uncultured bacterium. RNAcentral describes it as "partial 16S ribosomal RNA". It matches the Rfam family "Bacterial small subunit ribosomal RNA", at positions 28 to 506 of the family's 1533-position model. The record is from RNAcentral.